This 69-nucleotide transfer RNA is filed under the name Holothuria scabra. RNAcentral describes it as "tRNA-Trp". It matches the Rfam family "tRNA". Rfam says of the family: Transfer RNA (tRNA) molecules are approximately 80 nucleotides in length. Their secondary structure includes four short double-helical elements and three loops (D, anti-codon, and T loops). Further hydrogen bonds mediate the characteristic L-shaped molecular structure. tRNAs have two regions of fundamental functional importance: the anti-codon, which is responsible for specific mRNA codon recognition, and the 3' end, to which the tRNAs corresponding amino acid is attached (by aminoacyl-tRNA synthetases). tRNAs cope with the degeneracy of the genetic code in two manners: having more than one tRNA (with a specific anti-codon) for a particular amino acid; and 'wobble' base-pairing, i.e. permitting non-standard base-pairing at the 3rd anti-codon position. Lineage: Eukaryota; Metazoa; Echinodermata; Holothuroidea; Aspidochirotida; Holothuriidae. The record is from RNAcentral.
AAAGACUUAAGUCAAUAAGACUAUGAGCCUUCAAAGCUCAAAGUGCAGGUUAAACCCCUGCAGUCUUUG